GUCCACAGUCACACCACCCUGAGCCUCCGGGAUCUCGUCUGAUCUCGGAAGCUAAGCGGGGUCGGCCUAGGUUAGAAUGUGGAUGGGAGACCAAACAGCUGCCGCACGGGGCUUUCUUCC
This 120-nucleotide ribosomal RNA is filed under the name Saimiri boliviensis boliviensis (Bolivian squirrel monkey). The record is from RNAcentral. Lineage: Eukaryota; Metazoa; Chordata; Mammalia; Primates; Cebidae.